Megalobrama amblycephala (Wuchang bream) is the source of this 1396-nucleotide long non-coding RNA. RefSeq lists it as uncharacterized. The transcript is spliced from 7 exons. NCBI's taxonomy places the organism in Eukaryota, Metazoa, Chordata, Actinopteri, Cypriniformes, Xenocyprididae. The record is from RefSeq and is a predicted model, not a curated record.
CAUUAAUAUUUUCCUAAUAUUUUCAUAUGCUUUCCUUGCGUUCUUCCUCUCUGUCUCUCAGGGAAGAGGCUCAGUUUGGUGCGGUCAGAGUGGAAGAGGACGGAUGCCACGCUGCAGAGCUGCAGGAGUUACUGAGAGAACUGGGUCACGCAGACACACUCCAGUGUUUCCUACACGAGAAAAUGAAGUCAGACAGAUGUCAGUGUUGAGAGGAGAGAGAGGCCCGUGAGAGAGCAGUGCAUGCUUCUCGUCAGAUGAGACUGAAUGAAUGUGAAGCUGCAGUGGAAAAGAUCACUGACAUCAUUGAGAAACACAACAGACAGAGACGAACGGCACAGCAGAUGGUGAAGAGCUAAACAUCUCCACCCGCUGGAGUCAGCGAGCUCCCAAAGGCCUUAUGGGAAUCAGUCUGCAGGCGACGCUGUACUCCGAUGUUUGGUGAGGCGUCUGUGGGGUUUGCUGGAGGUCUGGAGGUGCAGGAGGAGACGCUCCUCUCUUCUGAUGGGACCGAGGAGGGAAGAGCAGGAGCGUCGGGAGCCGAGAGCCCUGGAAGAGCAGGAGGAGGAGAAGAUCAGCGGCCGGCUCCUCUAUCAGACCUUCAUGGAGAGAGAGCAUGUGAACUUCAGUCUCUUCAGUUUUGAGCAGAACAGGAAGCUGGAGGAGACGAGCUGAGACGUGGAGAAGCUGAGGUGAAGUUUGGAGCAGGAAGAAGUAGCAGAAUCUCAAUCUGCACAGACUUGUCUCCAGGAUCUGGAUCUGAGUCUGAAACAGGCGGUUCAGGAAUCUGGAAAACUCCAGUCGGAUAUGAGAGAGAAGGAACGUGUCCUCAGCCUGAUGUGUGCAGGUAUAGAGAGUCUCUGUCCAGGCUGGAGUGAAUCACUCCGGGUUAAAGGUGUAUUCUCAGUGGACAGAUGACCUUGUGACCUCAGAUGUCAUCUCUUUGAUUGGCCAGAUCAAGCUCAGAGUCUCUGAUCUUCUGCGUGUUCACACUUCCAGCUGCCGCAGGUCUCUCUCCUGAGAGUGAGGAGGAGUGUGAUGAAGAGGAAGUCAAACCGUUCUCCAGAGACCAGCUCACACAGAACGCCAUGAAGACGCUGCAUUGAUUAGACUGUUGCAUUUAUAUCUUGCAAUUCUGACUUUAUUUCUCACAAUUCCGAGGUUAUAAUUUACAAUUCGGAAUUAUUUUCUCAGAAUUGUGAGUAAAAACUUUUGAAUUUUAUAAGAUAAAAAGUCACAAUUAUCUUUAAUUUUAAAUAUCAUUUCUGAUAUUUUUCUCACAAUACCGAGUUUAUAUCUCAUAAUACAGAGGAAAAAAUAUGCAAAUUUUGAUUUAUGAACUUGAGUUUGAAUUGCGAGUUAACAUUUUUUCCUCAGAAUUGUGAGAGAUAAACUCACA